CAGUCGCCGCGGGAAUACAGAGGGUGCGAGCGUUAAUCGGAUUUACUGGGCGUAAAGCGUGCGUAGGCGGCUUUUUAAGUCGGAUGUGAAAUCCCUGAGCUUAACUUAGGAAUUGCAUUCGAUACUGGGAAGCUAGAGUAUGGGAGAGGAUGGUAGAAUUCCAGGUGUAGCGGUGAAAUGCGUAGAGAUCUGGAGGAAUACCGAUGGCGAAGGCAGCCAUCUGGCCUAAUACUGACGCUGAGGUACGAAAGCAUGGGGAGCAAACAGGAUUAGAUACCCCGGUAGUCCCUGUCUCUUAUCC
RNAcentral lists this ribosomal RNA (301 nucleotides) under uncultured bacterium. RNAcentral describes it as "partial 16S ribosomal RNA". It matches the Rfam family "Bacterial small subunit ribosomal RNA", at positions 509 to 809 of the family's 1533-position model. The record is from RNAcentral.